Molecule: ribosomal RNA, 263 nt
Filed under: uncultured bacterium
Lineage: Bacteria
Description: partial 16S ribosomal RNA
Rfam family: Bacterial small subunit ribosomal RNA
Source: RNAcentral
GUCCACGCCGUAAACGAUGUCUACUAGAUGUUCGUGGUCUUGUACCGUGAGUAUCGCAGCUAACGCAUUAAGUAGACCGCCUGGGGAGUACGGUCGCAAGAUUAAAACUCAAAUGAAUUGACGGGGGCCCGCACAAGCGGUGGAGCAUGUGGUUUAAUUCGACGCAACGCGAAGAACCUUACCUACUCUUGACAUCUACAGAACUUGGUAGAGAUACCUUGGUGCCUUCGGGAACUGUAAGACAGGUGCUGCAUGGCUGUCGU